GAGGGUAUAACUCAGUGGUACAGCGUAUGCCUAAAAAGCAUGAGGUCCUGGGUUCAAUCCCCAGUGCCUCCA
Transfer RNA from Camelus ferus (Wild Bactrian camel), 72 nucleotides. It matches the Rfam family "tRNA". From Rfam's summary of the family: Transfer RNA (tRNA) molecules are approximately 80 nucleotides in length. Their secondary structure includes four short double-helical elements and three loops (D, anti-codon, and T loops). The record is from Rfam. NCBI's taxonomy places the organism in Eukaryota, Metazoa, Chordata, Mammalia, Artiodactyla, Camelidae.